UUCUGAGAAUCAAACAUUGAUUUGAGUUGUUUUUCUGUGGAACAAACUGAAACUACAACGACUGUGAGACUGCAAAUAAAGAACGUGAAGCAAAACGAGUAUAUAAGGCCUGGACCACCAGACGGUUGAUGACGACGCCAUCUUAGGACAGCGUUUGCCUUCUCAUCUAGAAUAAAGAAUUCUUUUUUCAUCCUCCAGUGGGGAAAUUUACUGACAUUACGGCUCAAUAAAAAGACAACAGAACCCAACACACAGGAAAAACGUGCAUGCGAACUACGCACUGAGCUACUAAAACAGGACU
Molecule: long non-coding RNA, 301 nt
Filed under: Gouania willdenowi (blunt-snouted clingfish)
Lineage: Eukaryota; Metazoa; Chordata; Actinopteri; Blenniiformes; Gobiesocidae
Description: lncRNA (ENSGWIG00000019233.1)
Source: RNAcentral